GUGGCGGCGAAUGUUUGGUCAAGCUACUAAGGGCGUACGGUGGAUGCCUAGGCGCUAAGAGUC
RNAcentral lists this ribosomal RNA (63 nucleotides) under Desulfitobacterium hafniense. Its description in RNAcentral is "partial 23S ribosomal RNA". Lineage: Bacteria; Bacillati; Bacillota; Clostridia; Eubacteriales; Desulfitobacteriaceae. The record is from RNAcentral.